This 2531-nucleotide ribosomal RNA is filed under the name Chitinophagales bacterium. RNAcentral's name for it is "partial 23S ribosomal RNA". It matches the Rfam family "Bacterial large subunit ribosomal RNA", at positions 1 to 2573 of the family's 2925-position model. Lineage: Bacteria; Pseudomonadati; Bacteroidota; Chitinophagia; Chitinophagales. The record is from RNAcentral.
UUGAAAGUUACUAAGGGCGUACGGUGGAUGCCUUGGGUCUGAGAGGCGAUGAAGGACGUGAUAAGCUGCGAUAAGCUUCGGGGAGGUGCACAUAACCUUCGAUCCGAAGAUUUCCGAAUGGGGCAACCCUCUAUGUUGAAGACAUAGAAUACCGCUUGCGGUAGGCGAACGGGGAGAACUGAAACAUCUAAGUACCCCCAGGAAGAGAAAACAAUUGUGAUUUCCCAAGUAGUGGCGAGCGAAAAGGAAAAAGCCCAAACCAGUCAAGCGUGCUUGAUUGGGGUUGUAGGACUAUAAUGUGGACUACAGAAUCAAAGUUGAAGUGAAUGGAAAGUCACACGAUAAAGAGUGAUAGUCUCGUAAACGAAAAAUUCUGUUACCUAAUAGUAUCCUGAGUACCGCGAGGUCGGAGACGCCUUGUGGGAAUCUGCCGGCACCAUCCGGUAAGGCUAAAUACUCCUCAGACACCGAUAGCGAACUAGUACUGUGAAGGAAAGGUGAAAAGAACCGCGAACAGCGGAGUGAAAUAGAACCUGAAACCGUACGCUUACAAGCGGUUGGAGUGGCUUCGUGCCAUGACAACGUGCCUUUUGCAUAAUGAUCCUACGAGUUACUCGUCACUGGCAAGGUUAAGAAUUUAAUAUUCGAAGCCGUAGCGAAAGCAAGUCUGAAUAGGGCGAUAGUCAGUGGCGGUAGACGCGAAACCUUGUGAUCUACCCAUGAGCAGGAUGAAGUGACGGUAACACGUCAUGGAGGUCCGAACUGAUAAGCGUUGAAAAGCUUCCGGAUGACUUGUGGGUAGGGGCGAAAGACUAAUCAAACUGGGAGAUAGCUCGUACUCUCCGAAAUGCCUUUUGGGGCAGCGUUGGAAUUGAGUUUUAUAGAGGUAGAGCUACCGAUUGGGCUAGGGGGCUUCACCGCCUACCAAACCCUGACGAACUCCGAAUGCUAUAAAAUAUAUCCAGCAGUGAGGCAGCGAGUGAUAAGGCCCGUUGCCGAAAGGGAAACAACCCAGACCAUCAGCUAAGGUCCCAAAGUCUAUAUUAAGUUGCACAAACGUUGUCCGAUUGCUAUAACAGCUAGGAUGUUUGCUUGGAAGCAGCAAUCAUUUAAAGAGUGCGUAACAGCUCACUAGUCGAGUGAUCGGGCGCGGAAGAAUGACCGGGCAUAAAAUAUAGCACCGAAGCUAUGGAUUCGAAAGAAUGGUAGGAGAGCAUUCCAGCAUCUGUGAAGGUGAACCGUGAGGUUUGCUGGAGAAACUGGAAAAGAAAAUGUAGGAAUAAGUAACGAUAAAUAAGGUGAAAAACCUUAUCGCCAUAAACCUAAGGGUUCCUGAUCAAUGUUAAUCAGAUCAGGGUUAGUCGGAUCCUAAGGACCACCCGAAAGGGGACCUCCGAUGGAAAACUAGUUAAUAUUCUAGUACUUGUUUAAAUUUCGAUGGGGUGACGGAGCGAUGAAAGAUUCACGAUGGCAACGGAAAUGUCCACGUUUAAGUGCGUAGGUCUAUGAGCUAAUAGAAAAUCUGUAGCUCUUCUGAAACACGAAAGUAUACCAAUCCUUCGGGAAAGGGGAGAAUCCUAAGUGCUUCCAAGAAAAACCUCUAAGGCUAGGUUUAAACAAUCCGUACCGUAAACCGACACAGGUGGGUGAGGAGAAUAUCCUAAGGCGCUCGGGUGAGCCGCGGUUAAGGAAUUCGGCAAAAUUGUCCUGUAACUUCGGGAGAAAGGACCCCUACUUCGGUAGGGCGCAGUGAAAAGGCCUAGGCGACUGUUUAACAAAAACACAGGACUCUGCUAAAUCGUAAGAUGAUGUAUAGGGUCUGACACCUGCCCGGUGCUGGAAGGUUAAAGAAGGAGGUCAGCGCAAGCGAAGCUUUCGACUGAAGCCCCAGUAAACGGCGGCCGUAACUAUAACGGUCCUAAGGUAGCGAAAUUCCUUGUCGGGUAAGUUCCGACCUGCACGAAUGGUGUAACGAUCUAGGCACUGUCUCAACCGCGAGCCCGGUGAAAUUGAAGUAUCGGUGAAGAUGCCGGUUACCCGCAACGGGACGGAAAGACCCCAUGCACCUUCACUACAACUUUGCACUGAAUUUGAUUAAAUGAUGUGUAGGAUAGGUGGGAGACUUUGAAGUUGGAGCGCUAGCUCUAAUGGAGUCAUCCUUGAAAUACCACCCUUUAUUUGAUUAGAUUCUAACUCUAGAUAAGGAGGACACUGCAUGGUGGGUAGUUUGACUGGGGUGGUCGCCUCCCAAAAUGUAACGGAGGCUUCUAAAGGUACCCUCAGCACGCUUAGUAACCGUGCGCAGAGUGCAAUGGCACAAGGGUGCUUGACUGCAAGACUGACAAGUCAAGCAGGGACGAAAGUCGAGCAUAGUGAUCCGGUGGUUCCAUAUGGAAGGGCCAUCGCUCAAAGGAUAAAAGGUACGCUGGGGAUAACAGGCUGAUCUCCCCCAAGAGCUCAUAUCGACGGGGAGGUUUGGCACCUCGAUGUCGGCUCGUCACAUCCUGGGGCUGGAGAAGGUCCCAAGGGUU